UUGGGCGAAGAGAUUAGGUUUCUGCAGCAGACAGCUGUUUUAAUUGGAUAAAAACACUUUUUACCGAGUUUAUUAGGAAUAUUUGAGUGUGAACGUGUUUUUUGACAACAUUUGCAACAUUGUGUGGGAGGAUUUGCGUAACUUUUGUCAAACGAUAUCCAAUGCAGAAACUAACAUAAACAAUGUCGAAAAAAGCGAGAACUGUCAACGGAUUUAAAGGAACGGAUAGUAAUAUUGAAUGCAAAGGGAUUUAACUACAACAAAGUUAAUGAAUUAUUGGGAAUACUUCGCAGUACAGUCGGAUGUCUUUUGAAAAAAAAUCUUUCAAAAGGGAAGUGUUAAAAACGAUCCCGGAAGUUGAAAGCCGCGAGUGACAUAUGUGAGGGGUGAUCGGAAACUUAAUUGCAUUGUUAAAACAAAUCGUAGGCAAUCUUUACAGGAUGUAACAUUAGCAUACAAUAAAAAUGAAGGAACGCGUUUGUCCAAGAGAACGUGAGGCGAAGCUUACAUCUGGAAGGAUACAGGCGGGGGAAAAUUUAGAAAACUCUGACAAUAAGCAAAGUUUACCGACAACGCGAAAUUCGAUGGUGCGGAGGGAGAAAACAUUGGCAGUCUAAACAGUGGCAGAAAGUCCCGUGAGAUUGAUAACUUUAAAAAUCGUGAUGACUUAGUAGCAGCAGUUACGAGAAUUUGGAAUGGAUUUUCACAGACCUACAUGAGAAGGUUGUAUGCCUCAAUUCCCUACAGACGACGAUAGGUUACAAUUCAGAAAGGCUAUGCAACAUGAUACAAAAAGGAAAAUGUGAAGACACCUUUUAUCACAUUGAAAGUUCGUUUUUCUCUUUGCUGUUGAUGUUACUUUGUGAUGACGUCAGCCAUGUUUGUUGCAAUACUUUUGGUCACUUAGUGUAAGUAACACGUGUCUAUACACAAUCACUUCGAAGUAUCGCGAGUAAAAAAAAUCAGCAAACUAUAAAUAACGGAACUGCAGUUUGACUCUGAGGGAUCAAGAAUUUCGAGGAUCAACAAUUCGAGAAAUCAGAAGGAUGUUAGUUAUAUAGGAAAAAAUCCGGAACCUUAGACUCAAUUUGAGCAAUCAAGAACUUCAAGCGAUGGAAGUUUGAGCCAUCAAAUGUUACUUGUAUGUAUACUGACGUGGAGUUCAGUGAAUCAUUAUUCACUGUAGAAUAAUAACAAAAGCGACUUAUCAGAACUCGCAUACUAGAAAACAAUAAUUUUAAACUCUAUGAAAAAUGUUACAAACAUAUCAUCGGCUGUGCAAUGGUUUAAACUGUGUUCCCUAAUGUUUCUAACAUUAGAUUGUUCCCAAUAACCCAUUCAAUCAUAACACAGCUUCAAUAUACUAAUAAAGUGCUGUUUCGCGGCAGAUUUAGA
Molecule: long non-coding RNA, 1395 nt
Organism: Magallana angulata
Lineage: Eukaryota; Metazoa; Mollusca; Bivalvia; Ostreida; Ostreidae
Exons: 2
Source: RefSeq, a predicted model, not a curated record